GGCGCGGUCAGGCACAAACUGUCUGGAGAACCUGGUGAUCCUGAAUGGGGAGAAGUUCAGUCCGGAGGUGUGGGACGUCACCUGCGCCUGCAUGCUGGAUAUCUUCCAGACCACCAGCCCUCAUGUCUUGCUGACAUGGCGACCAGCUGGACAGGAAGAGGAGGUGGGAGAAGGGAAACACAUGGACGCUGAGGUUGAUUCUCAGUCGCAGAGCAGCUUUGAGAGGACUCUUUCAGAGAGAGGACACAGUCAGAUGUCCACUGCCAGUGAUGAAACAUGGAAAGGAAAAUCCCAAACCAGUAUGUACAGCUGC
Molecule: long non-coding RNA, 313 nt
Organism: Sinocyclocheilus anshuiensis
Lineage: Eukaryota; Metazoa; Chordata; Actinopteri; Cypriniformes; Cyprinidae
Exons: 3
Source: RefSeq, a predicted model, not a curated record